Molecule: unclassified non-coding RNA, 1247 nt
Filed under: leaf metagenome
Description: partial contains internal transcribed spacer 1, 5.8S ribosomal RNA, internal transcribed spacer 2, and large subunit ribosomal RNA
Rfam family: Eukaryotic large subunit ribosomal RNA (bases 663-1247)
Source: RNAcentral
ACAGCGGAGGGAUCAUUACUGAGUUAUUAAAACUCCAAACCCUUUGUGAACCUUACUGUCGUUGCCUCGGCGUGAGCUACGGCUACCCUGUAGUUACCCUAUAGCUACCCUGCAGCUACCCUAUAGUUGACCAGUGGCUACCCUGUAGUUACCCUAUAGCUACCCUGCAGCUACCCUGCAGCUACCCUAUAGUUGACCAGUGGCUACCCUGUAGUUACCCUAUAGCUACCCUGCAGCUACCCUAUAGUUGACCAGUAGCUACCCUGUAGCCGGCUUAUGGCCCGCCGAAGGACCGCUAAACUCUUGUUUUUUACCACUGUUUCUCUGAAUUGUAAACUUAAAUAAGUUAAAACUUUCAACAACGGAUCUCUUGGUUCUGGCAUCGAUGAAGAACGCAGCGAAAUGCGAUAAGUAAUGUGAAUUGCAGAAUUCAGUGAAUCAUCGAAUCUUUGAACGCACAUUGCGCCCAUUAGUAUUCUAGUGGGCAUGCCUAUUCGAGCGUCAUUUCGACCCUUAAGCCCCUGUUGCUUAGCGUUGGGAAUCUACAGCGUAGUUCCUUAAAGUUAGUGGCGGAGUUAGGGUACACUCUCAGCGUAGUAAUCUUUCUCGCUCGUGUGGUGGCCCUGGCUGCUAGCCGUUAAACCCCUAUAUUUUCUAGUGGUUGACCUCGGAUUAGGUAGGAAUACCCGCUGAACUUAAGCAUAUCAAUAAGCGGAGGAAAAGAAACCAACAGGGAUUGCCCUAGUAACGGCGAGUGAAGCGGCAAUAGCUCAAAUUUGAAAUCUGGCCCUCGUGGUCCGAGUUGUAAUUUGUAGAGGAUGCUUUUGGUGCGGUGCCUUCCGAGUUCCCUGGAACGGGACGCCAAAGAGGGUGAGAGCCCCGUACGGUUGGACACCUACCCUAUAUAUAGCUCCUUCGACGAGUCGAGUAGUUUGGGAAUGCUGCUCUAAAUGGGAGGUAAAUUUCUUCUAAAGCUAAAUACCGGCCAGAGACCGAUAGCGCACAAGUAGAGUGAUCGAAAGAUGAAAAGCACUUUGAAAAGAGGGUUAAAUAGCACGUGAAAUUGUUGAAAGGGAAGCGUUUGCGACCAGACCUUUUCCAGGGGGAUCAUCCGGUGUUCUCACCGGUGCACUUCCCUUGGUUUAGGCCAGCAUCGGUUUUCUUAGGGGGAUAAAGGCUUAGGGAACGUAGCUCUUUCGGGAGUGUUAUAGCCCUUUGCGUAAUACCCCUCGGGGACCGAGGACCGC